This 74-nucleotide transfer RNA is filed under the name Candidatus Vogelbacteria bacterium RIFOXYB1_FULL_42_16. Its description in RNAcentral is "tRNA-Gln". It matches the Rfam family "tRNA". From Rfam's summary of the family: Transfer RNA (tRNA) molecules are approximately 80 nucleotides in length. Their secondary structure includes four short double-helical elements and three loops (D, anti-codon, and T loops). The record is from RNAcentral. Lineage: Bacteria; Candidatus Vogeliibacteriota. RNAcentral also lists the same sequence under 1 other name.
UGGGGAAUCGUCUAAUGGUAGGACAGAGGCCUUUGAAGCCUUUAAUCUAGGUCCGACUCCUAGUUCCCCAGCCA